This is a long non-coding RNA of Anolis carolinensis (green anole), 6031 nucleotides long. RefSeq lists it as uncharacterized. Lineage: Eukaryota; Metazoa; Chordata; Lepidosauria; Squamata; Anolidae. The transcript is spliced from 4 exons. The record is from RefSeq and is a predicted model, not a curated record.
UACCAUGGUUCAGCCUCCUUUCUUGGGGAUUCAUCUGGAAAGAGUUGAAAGAGGAGAGAGACGCCUUUCCUUUGGGGAGUCACUUUUACCUCAGGAAAGGCUUUUCUUCCCGUCCAGAGGACCCUCUCUCUCCCACUCGGUUUUAGAAAUUUCUUUAUCGAACCUUUACCUCAGAAAAGCCUUGUGAAAUAGAAAGAAGAAAAUGCCAAUUUUAUUUAUUAAGAGAUUGUCACCUCAGACUUUACCUCAGAAAUGGCCAAGCCUUGUGAAACGGAAGGGAGAAACAAAGGCAAAACUUUUGAAAAUUAGCACAGCUUUUUCUGAAGGGACCAGAAAUUUCUUUAUCGAACCUUUACCUCAGAAAAGCCUUGUGAAAUAGAAAGAAGAAAAUGCCAAUUUUAUUUAUUAAGAGAUGGUCAUCUCAGACUUUACCUCAGAAAUGGCCAAGCCUUGUGAAACGGAAGGGAGAAACAAAGGCAAAACUUUUGAAAAUUAGCACAGCUUUUUCUGAAGGGACCAGCGCUGAAUUCAAGUCAAAGGGAAGAAAGGGAAGAAACAAAAGGUCGAAGAGACAGAAGACAGAAGAUGCUUGAAGACACUCUCGCAAGGACACCGCCCGCCCCCCAAAAAAGGUCAUUGUCAGGGUAAUGGGUGUCAGGCUAGGCAUUUCAUGUCUAUCUUUGCAAUAAAAAACAGGCUACCUGUGUGCUAGGCUUUUGCAUGAAGAACACGGUUCCCCUCGUGUGUGGCAUCGAAGGUUCCCACUCGGGAACGGACGGGUCCUCCCUUUGUUCUAGGCAGAUGAUGGGGGUUUUCCUAUACAAGCCGUAGGGGCCACAGCUUGGGGGGCAGCGGGGGGCCCGGCCCUGGCACCGCGGGGAGCAGCACACCUUACGGGCAUUUUAAAAGCUCCCUUAAACUUAGACAGUGGCUAGCAAUAAAAAUAUUAAUACCUUAACUCACCUACUAACCCUACUAACACCAUUCUAACUAGGGCAGGCUGGCCUUUUAAAUAGGACUGUGUUUUGCCUGCUGGCAAGAACCAAGCUGGGAGGGAAGGGGGCCUCCUGGCCCCCCAUAGAAGGGCUCCCCUAGAAGGACAUUCAAAAGGCCCGCAAGGUGUCCUGAGAGCAGCCCCUGGGGCCCUCAGUGUGCCCCCCACGGUGCCAGGGCUGGGCCCCCCGCUCUCCCCCAACCCAUGACCCCUGCCGCCUGUAUCUCGUCCGCCCAGGGCCAACGGACGCCCCCUCCCUCCCCGGGCGGAGCUUCGGCGCCACACACAAGGGGAGGCCAGCCGUGGCCGCCAGAACAUGGCCAACCUGGUUUUGGACUGCAAACAUAGGCAUGUAGGGACCCCCUUUUAUUUAUGUAAGGCCACCCACCCAGGGGACCUGGUUAAAGGGGAUCCUCUAUUCUUAAAGUAAGGCCUAUAGAGAUCUCCUAUCCAGAAACUAAGGCGGCUUGGCCUAUAGAGAUCCCCUUUUGUUAAACUAAGGUGGCCUGGCCUAUAGAGAUCUCUUGUUGUUAAACUAAGGUGGCCUGGCCUAUAGAGAUCUCCUAUUCUUUAAGGUAACGCCAGGCGAUGUGGAGAUCCCUGGUUCUUUUAACCCUUAAGGCCAACCGUGGGGAGAUCCCUGGUUCUUUUAACCCUUAAGGCCAACCGUGGGGAGAUCCCUGGUUCUUUUAACCCUUAAGGCCAACCGUGGGGAGAUCCCUGGUUCUUUUAACCCUUAAGGCCAACCGUGGGGAGAUCCCUGGUUCUUUUAACCCUUAAGGCCAACCGUGGGGAGAUCCCUGGUUCUUUUAACCCUUAAGGCCAACCGUGGGGAGAUCCCUGGUUCUUUUAACCCUUAAGGCCAACCGUGGGGAGAUCCCUGGUUCUUUUAACCCUUAAGGCCAACCGUGGGGAGAUCCCUGGUUCUUUUAACCCUUAAGGCCAACCGUGGGGAGAUCCCUGGUUCUUUUAACCCUUAAGGCCAACCGUGGGGAGAUCCCUGGUUCUUUUAACCCUUAAGGCCUGCCUGGGGAGAUAUCCUAUUCUUUUUUCAUGAAAAGUCGGGUAUAGACCUUCUCUUUUCUCUCCCGUUUCAUGUGCCUGGACUCCCGGAGGGCUCCUGCCGGACACCGUCUCCCAUCGGCCGAGAGGGAUCCUUCCUGUUUGGAAAGCAUCUGCUACACAGGUAAAAAGAAGAUUCCGGGAAGGAGAUUCCUACAGCGGAGCCCUAAAGCCAGGUGAGACGUUCCUUCCAACCUCCACGGCUGCUUUGCACACACACACAUGACACACACAUGACACACACACACACGCAUAUACAGCUGGGGGCCCUCAGGGACUCUCCCCCCAAUAGAUCGGGGACUCCCACUCCGGCAAUUGGCCAUUGGAAAUGCCUUGAAGCAGUUUGGGGCUUCCGGCCAAGCGCUCGCAAAGAGAACCCAUUCAAGGUAUACGUGGAGCCCCUUUUAUUUAUUAUUUAUUGACAGCAUUUCUAUUCCGCCCUUCUUUCUCACCCCAAAGGGGACUCAGGGCGGAUCACAUGACACAUAUAGGCAAACAUUCAGUGCCUUUUAACAUAGAACAAAGACAAACAAACAUAAGCUCCGAGCGGGUCUCGAACUCAUGACCUCCUGGUCAGAGUGAUUCCUUGCAGUUAUAAUUGCAGCUGGCUUGCUCUCCCGCCUGCGCCACAGCCCGGGCCAACCUUGAUAAAAAGGGCCUGGCACGUGGAAAACUCUAUUUGUAAGGCAAACCCUCGUUAAAGGAGGUUUGCAAUUAAUUUAAAACCAGGCUUCUGAGGGACCCGCUGCGUUUAAAGCCAAACCUAGCAGGUGGGAACCUCUCUUGUUGGAUAAAGGAGAUCCCCUCUGGUUAACGUAAGGGGAGGGACCCUCCAUUUUUAAUAGGAUGCCUGGCAGAAUCUUAACCUCAAUGCAGGCCUAUGGGGUCCAGCCUUAUUCUCAAUGACUGCAUAGCCAGGCAUGAAGGGACCCCAUAUUAUUAAUUUGAAGCCUGGUAAAAAGAGAUUUAUGUAUUUAUUUAUUUACUACAUUUAUACCCCGCCCUCUUUUCCCUUAAAGGGGACUCAGAGCGGCUUACAAGUUAUAUUUAUAUACACUAUCUCAUUAGCAUAGCACAAUAUUAGCAUUAUAUAUUACUACAUUGCACUAUACCACUAUAUAGAAAUAUUGUUAGCAAUAUUACAUUUAAAAUAUAAUAUGUAAUUAAUAUUAUUGUAUCAUUGUUAGUAUUAUAUUGCAUUAUUUAUUUAUUUAUUAGAUUUAUAUGCUGCCCUUCUCACCCCGAAGGGGACUCAGAACGGCUUAAAAAUUAAAUUUACAUACAAUAUUAUAUUAUUAGCAUAGUACAAUACUGGCAAUAAAUUACUAUAUUGUACUAUAUCAAUAUAUGGUAGUAUUAUUAGUAAUAUUACAUGCAAAAUAUAAUAUAUAAUUAAUAUUAUUAUAUUGUAUUAUUAAUAUAUCGUAUUACAAUAUAAUAUUAUGAAUAUAUGUAUAUACAAUAUGUUGUAAUUAUUAUAUAUUAAAUUAUAUAUAUAUAUAUAUAUAUAUACACACACACACACAGUAGAGUCUCAUUUAUCCAACAUAAACGGGCCAGCAGAAUGUUGGAUAAGCGAAUAUGUUGGAUAAUAAGGAGGGAUUAAGGAAAAGCCUAUUAAACAUCAAAUUAGUUUAUGAUUUUACAAAUUAAGCACCAAAUCAUCAUGUUAUACAACAAAUUUCACAAAAAAAGUAGUUCAAUAUGCAGUAAUGCUAUGUAGUAAUUACUGUAUUUAUGAAUUUAGUACCAAAAUAUCAUGAUGUCUUGAAAACAUUGUCUACAAAAAUGCGUUGGAUAAGCGAGUGUUGGAUAAGUGAGACUCUACUGUAUAUAAAAAUUAGAAUAGCAUGUUAUUAGGGGAGGAGCAUCUUAAUUAUUAGAUGUCAGUAUUAGUCAUUAGAUGUUAAUAUUAGUUAUUCAUAUUAGUAUCAAUAUUACAUUAAUAUACAAUAGAGCAGGGGUCCCCAAACUAAGGCCCGUGUGCGGGAUGCGGCCCAUCGAAGCCAUUUAUCCGGCCCCCACAGCACAACCCUUAUUAUUAUUAUUAUUAUUAUUAUUAUUAUUAUUAUUAUUAUUAUUAUUAGCAUUGAGGCUGGGUGGCCAUCUGUCAGGGGUGCUUUGCUUGUGCUUUCGGUGCACAAAGGCAGAAAGGGAUUGGACUCAAUGGCCAACCCUUCCAACCCUCAUAAUUAUUAUUAUUAUUAUUAUUAAUUAUUAUUAUUAUUGCUUGGUGGCCAACUAUAGUCUGGCCCUGCAAUGGUCUGAAGGAUCGUGAACUGGCUCCCUGUUUAAAAGGUUUGGGGACCCCUGCAAUAGAGUAUAUUAUUAUCCUAGCACAAUGUUAUUAUGUUAUAUAGUAGUAUGUAUGUUAAUAUUAUUUAUUCAUAUUAGUAUCAAUAUGACAUUAAUAUACAAUAGAGUAUAUUAUCCUAGCACAAUAUUCAUAUGUUCUAUAGUAGUAUGUUGUUGCUAGGGGGAGGGGCCCCCCACUGAUGGGGAGGGCCCCCCCACUGAGAUCCCCUGUCAUUAAUGUUAGACCAGGCAUUUAACGCCUACCUUUGCAUUCAAGAGCAGGCUCCUAGGCCUUUGCAUUCAAGAGCAGUGCGCUAGGCCUUUGCGCAAGGAACACCACCCACGGCUCCCCUUGUGCGUGGCGUUGAGGCCCCACUCGGUGACGGACGGGUCCUCCCUUUGCCCUGGGCAGGUCGUGGGGGGGGGGGUCUCCCUGCACAGGCAGGGGGUCACGGCUGGGGGGAGAGCGGGGGCCCGGCCUUGGCACCCCCCUGGGGACCCGAGGGGCCGCUCUCAGCCCACGUCACGGGCAUUUUAAAACGUCCCCGGGAUGUAGUAGCUCAGAUUAAUCCCUGCACUAACCGCUAACCCUACUAACCCAGUUCUAACCCGGGCAGGCUAGGCUUUUAAAUAGGACUGUUUUUGCCUGUUGGCAAGAACCAAGUGGGAGGGGGCCUCCGGGCCUCCCGUGGGAAGAAGGGCUCCGGCCCCCCCGGCCCCCCGGCCCCUGCCCUGUGCUGGGAGCCCCCCGCCCGGGCCCCCAGAGGCCUCCCUGUGGUACCGGGCUUGGCCCCCAUCCGCUCUGCCCCCAUCCGACGGCCUAGGAAAGCCCCCCACCAUCCGCCCAGGGCCAACGGACGGCCCUCCCUCCCAGGGGCAGCCGCGUUCCUCACGCAAAGGUCUGGCGCACGGGAGCCUGUUUCUGAAUGCAAACGUGGGGCCCAGGACCCCCCCCCUUGUCUCCGUGCAGGGCCACCCCCCCAGGGACCCCCACAAAUGCCUGGUGACAGGGGAUCCUCUCCUCUUAGCAGGAGGAAAAGCCACGUGCGUAAAGCGGUGCCUUUGCUCCCGUCGUUCCCAAGAGCCCCCCAAAAGCGAGAUGCUCCCCUGGGUUCAGCCCUCCUGACCCCUGUCUUCUCCCUUGUUCCAUGUCUCCAAAAUCCCCGAGGGAGGGGCUCCUCCUGGACAAGAGCCAAGGACGGAAGGACGGACGGACGGACGGACGGAGAUCCCAGAGAGAGAGCGGAGAGCAGGACGCCUUGCCUUUUCCCAGCUGCUGAGGUCGACCCCUUUCCAACGAGGUCAGCUUUCAAGAAGAAAACUCUUCCCAAAAAAGUGUGUUCUGGUUAUUAUUCAAAGGCACAACGUUCAAUAUUUGACAGCAUUAAACAUCUAGAUUACAGGACAGUUUAUGUUACUGCAUUUUAUACACCUGACCUUGUUUUUACAAAUAAAGUACCUGUAUAAUUUUUGCCUCUAUAUAUAUAUUGUACUAUGCUCAGACUCAUUGUUCUGAUAUGCUGUUAUAUGGUUUAAUUGUUUAUAUUGUUUAUAUUUUUAAUGUAUGACUGUUUAUUACAUGUGACAUUGGGCUUGUUUCCCAUGUGAGCCACCCCGAGUCCUCCUGGGGGAGAUGGGAGCGGGAAUAUAAAAAUAAAGUAUUAUUUUGUAUUAUUAUUA